This 274-nucleotide ribosomal RNA is filed under the name uncultured bacterium. RNAcentral's name for it is "partial 16S ribosomal RNA". It matches the Rfam family "Bacterial small subunit ribosomal RNA", at positions 523 to 796 of the family's 1533-position model. The record is from RNAcentral.
CUACGUACUGGGCGAACGUUAUUCGGAAUCACUGGGCUUAAGGGGUGCGUAGGCGGUCCGGCAAGUCAGAUGUGAAAUCCCCCGGCCCAACCGGGGAACUGCGUUUGAAACUGCCGGACUUGAGUGCGAUAGGGGUGUGCGGAACUUCCAGUGGAGCGGUGAAAUGUGUUGAUAUUGGAAGGAACGCCGGUGGCGAAAGCGGCACACUGGGUCGCAACUGACGCUGAGGCACGAAAGCCAGGGGAGCGAACGGGAUUAGAAACCCCAGUAGUCC